AGUCGAGCGGGGUUAAUUAGAAGCUUGCUUCUAAUUAACCUAGCGGCGGACGGGUGAGUAACACGUAGGCAACCUGCCCACAAGACAGGGAUAACUACCGGAAACGGUAGCUAAUACCCGAUACAUCCUUUUCCUGCAUGGGAGAAGGAGGAAAGACGGAGCAAUCUGUCACUUGUGGAUGGGCCUGCGGCGCAUUAGCUAGUUGGUGGGGUAAAGGCCUACCAAGGCGACGAUGCGUAGCCGACCUGAGAGGGUGAUCGGCCACACUGGGACUGAGACACGGCCCAGACUCCUACGGGAGGCAGCAGUAGGGAAUCUUCCGCAAUGGGCGAAAGCCUGACGGAGCAACGCCGCGUGAGUGAUGAAGGUUUUCGGAUCGUAAAGCUCUGUUGCCAGGGAAGAACGUCUUGUAGAGUAACUGCUACAAGAGUGACGGUACCUGAGAAGAAAGCCCCGGCUAACUACGUGCCAGCAGCCGCGGUAAUACGUAGGGGGCAAGCGUUGUCCGGAAUUAUUGGGCGUAAAGCGCGCGCAGGCGGCUCUUUAAGUCUGGUGUUUAAUCCCGAGGCUCAACUUCGGGUCGCACUGGAAACUGGGGAGCUUGAGUGCAGAAGAGGAGAGUGGAAUUCCACGUGUAGCGGUGAAAUGCGUAGAGAUGUGGAGGAACACCAGUGGCGAAGGCGACUCUCUGGGCUGUAACUGACGCUGAGGCGCGAAAGC
RNAcentral lists this ribosomal RNA (720 nucleotides) under Bacillus sp. FJAT-4571. Its description in RNAcentral is "bacterial SSU rRNA". It matches the Rfam family "Bacterial small subunit ribosomal RNA", at positions 60 to 760 of the family's 1533-position model. Lineage: Bacteria; Bacillati; Bacillota; Bacilli; Caryophanales; Bacillaceae. The record is from RNAcentral.